RNAcentral lists this ribosomal RNA (468 nucleotides) under uncultured bacterium. RNAcentral's name for it is "partial 16S ribosomal RNA". It matches the Rfam family "Bacterial small subunit ribosomal RNA", at positions 28 to 507 of the family's 1533-position model. The record is from RNAcentral.
GAUGAACGCUGGCGGCGUGCUUAACACAUGCAAGUCGAACGGAAAGGCCCAAGCUUGCUUGGGUACUCGAGUGGCGAACGGGUGAGUAACACGUGGGUUAUCUGCCCUGCACUUCGGGAUAAGCCUGGGAAACUGGGUCUAAUACCGGAUAGGACGAUGGUUUGGAUGCCAUUGUGGAAAGUUUUUUCGGUGUGGGAUGAGCUCGCGGCCUAUCAGCUUGUUGGUGGGGUAAUGGCCUACCAAGGCGUCGACGGGUAGCCGGCCUGAGAGGGUGUACGGCCACAUUGGGACUGAGAGACGGCCCAGACUCCUACGGGAGGCAGCAAUGGGGAAUAUUGCACAAUGGGCGCAGGCCUGAUGCAGCGACGCCGCGGGGGGGAUGAAGGCAUUCGGGUUGUAAACUCCUUUCGCUAGGGACGAAGCGUUUUUGUGACGGUACCUGGAGAAGAAGCACCGGCUAACUACGUG